This 600-nucleotide ribosomal RNA is filed under the name Streptomyces sp. YIM C426. RNAcentral's name for it is "bacterial SSU rRNA". It matches the Rfam family "Bacterial small subunit ribosomal RNA", at positions 30 to 645 of the family's 1533-position model. The record is from RNAcentral. Lineage: Bacteria; Bacillati; Actinomycetota; Actinomycetes; Kitasatosporales; Streptomycetaceae.
CGAACGCUGGCGGCGUGCUUAACACAUGCAAGUCGAACGAUGAAGCCGCUUCGGUGGUGGAUUAGUGGCGAACGGGUGAGUAACACGUGGGCAAUCUGCCCUUCACUCUGGGACAAGCCCUGGAAACGGGGUCUAAUACCGGAUAAUACUCUGUUCCGCAUGGAACGGGGUUGAAAGCUCCGGCGGUGAAGGAUGAGCCCGCGGCCUAUCAGCUUGUUGGUGGGGUAAUGGCCUACCAAGGCGACGACGGGUAGCCGGCCUGAGAGGGCGACCGGCCACACUGGGACUGAGACACGGCCCAGACUCCUACGGGAGGCAGCAGUGGGGAAUAUUGCACAAUGGGCGAAAGCCUGAUGCAGCGACGCCGCGUGAGGGAUGACGGCCUUCGGGUUGUAAACCUCUUUCAGCAGGGAAGAAGCGCAAGUGACGGUACCUGCAGAAGAAGCGCCGGCUAACUACGUGCCAGCAGCCGCGGUAAUACGUAGGGCGCAAGCGUUGUCCGGAAUUAUUGGGCGUAAAGAGCUCGUAGGCGGCUUGUCACGUCGGAUGUGAAAGCCCGGGGCUUAACCCCGGGUCUGCAUUCGAUACGGGCUAGCUAGA